CGCCUCCUGCAAAAUAUUAUACAUAGGAGGUCCAACCUGCCCAGUGACUACAAGUUCAACGGCCGCGGUAUUUUAACCGUGCAAAGGUAGCGCAAUCACUUGUCUUUUAAAUAGAGACCUGUAUGAAUGGCCAAACGAAGGCUUAACUGUCUCCCAUUUCAAGUCAGUGAAAUUGAUCUAUCCGUGCAGAAGCGGGUAUAUUAAUACAAGACGAGAAGACCCUUUGGAGCUUAAGGUACAAAAUUCAACCACGUCAAACAACUCAAUAAAAAGUAAGAACCUUGUGGAACAUGAAAUUUUACCUUCGGUUGGGGCGACCACGGAGAAAAAUAAAUCCUCCAAGUGGACUGGGAUAAAAACCCUAAAACCAAGAGAGACAUCUCUAAGCCACAGAACAUCUGACCAAGCAUGAUCCGGCCACCAAAGCCGAUCAACGAACCAAGUUACCCUAGGGAUAACAGCGCAAUCCUCUCCCAGAGUCCAUAUCGACGAGGGGGUUUACGACCUCGAUGUUGGAUCAGGACAACCCUAAUGGGUGCAGCCGCUAUUAAGGGUUCGUUUGUUCAACGAUUAAAGUCCU
This 580-nucleotide ribosomal RNA is filed under the name Tariqilabeo latius (stone roller). RNAcentral's name for it is "partial 16S ribosomal RNA". It matches the Rfam family "Bacterial large subunit ribosomal RNA", at positions 1816 to 2597 of the family's 2925-position model. The record is from RNAcentral. Lineage: Eukaryota; Metazoa; Chordata; Actinopteri; Cypriniformes; Cyprinidae.